AUUGAACGCUGGCGGAAUGCUUUACACAUGCAAGUCGAGCGGCAGCGCGGGGCAACCUGGCGGCGAGCGGCGAACGGGUGAGUAAUACAUCGGAACGUACCCAGUUGUGGGGGAUAGCCCGGCGAAAGCCGGAUUAAUACCGCAUACGACCUGAGGGUGAAAGCGGGGGAUCGCAAGACCUCGCGCAAUUGGAGCGGCCGAUGGCGGAUUAGCUAGUUGGUAGGGUAAAGGCCUACCAAGGCGACGAUCCGUAGCGGGUCUGAGAGGACGGCCCGCCACCCUGGAACUGAGACACGGGCCAGACGCCUACGGGAGGCAGCAGUGGGGAAUUUUGGACAAUGGGGGAAACCCUGAUCCAGCCAUUCCGCGUGAGUGAAGAAGGCCUUCGGGUUGUAAAGCUCUUUCGGCAGGAACGAAACGGUGGGUCCUAAUACGAUCUGCUAAUGACGGUACCUGAAGAAGAAGCACCGGCUAACUACGUGCCAGCAGCCGCCGCCG
RNAcentral lists this ribosomal RNA (498 nucleotides) under uncultured bacterium. RNAcentral's name for it is "partial 16S ribosomal RNA". It matches the Rfam family "Bacterial small subunit ribosomal RNA", at positions 29 to 523 of the family's 1533-position model. The record is from RNAcentral.